GACGGAGGGUGCAAGCGUUAUCCGGAUUUAUUGGGUUUAAAGGGUCCGUAGGCGGAUCUGUAAGUCAGUGGUGAAAUCUCACAGCUUAACUGUGAAACUGCCAUUGAUACUGCAGGUCUUGAGUGUUAUUGAAGUAGCUGGAAUAAGUAGUGUAGCGGUGAAAUGCAUAGAUAUUACUUAGAACACCAAUUGCGAAGGCAGGUUACUAAGCAACAACUGACGCUGAUGGACGAAAGCGUGGGGAGCGAACAGG
This 253-nucleotide ribosomal RNA is filed under the name uncultured bacterium. RNAcentral describes it as "partial 16S ribosomal RNA". It matches the Rfam family "Bacterial small subunit ribosomal RNA", at positions 524 to 776 of the family's 1533-position model. The record is from RNAcentral.